GCUCCCUCCGUCCCUCUCUUGUUCAAUUAAUAGGAAUUGAUACGCGACUUCGAUAUUUCUGAGGGUAGAAAUUGAUGGACCAGCAGGCAAAAUCGGACCAACCCUGUAAUUGAUACGCGACUUCGAGUGGAGAAGAAGCAAAAUAAUCUCUGAGAUAUAAAUCUCCGUCGACCCAGUUCAGGACUUGCGCGCUCACUUUCACGGCUUGCUUUCCUAUUUAGAAACAAAUACUAUGUGAUUGGAAUUUUGGAAAGGUGCUAAGUUUUUUGUAAAAUUAGUUGGUCAUUAUUAUCCCUUGUUAUUGAUUUUAAUUAUUUUUUCGAUAAAAGUUUUAGUUGAUUGAUGGUAAGGGUAGUCAAACGGGGUGGAUCGUUCAGUUAUUGGGUUGAGCUACUUGAGUAUCAUUUUGUGGUUUAAGAGGAGAGAAAGGAGCUGGUAGUUAUGAGCUGUCAAUAUGGUAUGAUUAUUCUGGUCCCAUUAAUAGUAAUAUAAUUAACAGCAGUGAGGUUCAAGUACAAUUCUAAUUUAGAAAUAUCAUGUCUUAUCUGCGUAACUUGAACUAUCUGAGGAAAAUCAGAUGCAAAUUCUUAUCUUAAUUUUGGUGGAAAUGGUCAAAAUGACUAUUGUCAUCACUUAGGACGUUGGCUGAAGUGUUUCCAUAAUGUUCUUGACGUAAUACUGUCUUCUUGCUCACCCUAUUGAUUUUGUAUGAGCAGGAGUGAGAAUUUUGAAAACUAAGAUCUCUGAUCAUUUGACUAAAUGCGUUUGCUUAAAGAACUAAUCUGAUUUUUUUUUUUCUUUUGGUUUCUAUUUGGGCUAUUCUUGACCUGCAAAAUGUGUUGAUGAUUUAUUAUAUUUAACAAUCCUUAUGGAAUCAAAUGAGGUUUCAGCAAAUACAAAAUGAACUUUCUUUUUGGUCUUGCUGCAAGCAACUUUCUGUCCUUAAAUAUCAAACGUCUCGUUACUUGAAGAUCAUUUUUAUUCCUUGUUCAAAUUUCCUUGCCUUGCACAGUCCAUUUGUACUUAUGGAUAAACUUUUCAUUCCAUAUAUGUAAAUAGUGUUAGGUUUUCCUAUGAUUGUGUUAAUGUCGUAUUUCAACUGGCCAUACCCCCUUACAGAAUCUGUCAUAAUUAAUUAUGCUCUGAUGAGUGGGGUGUCAAAACAUUUUCCUACGGAAGAAGUGGCAGUAUGUUGUAUAUUUUUACUUUGCUCUUAGUAUAUUACUCUUCAGUGCAGAUUUUGGAGCCAUAGAGUAUAUCCUUUUUUUAAAAAAAAAAAAAAAACAUUCAGAAGCUUUGAACCCUGUACCAUUGCCUAGAUCCCUCCCGUACCACCUAAGCUAGCCUUUAUGGAAUUAAAAAUUAAAAAUUCUGAUCACAUUGUAAUACCGUAGAAGUGAAAAUGAGACCUGUUUUUAUCUCUAUUCCAAAAGUAGUACACUGUAUAUAGUCCUUGGAAGAAAUUUUGAUUUUUAACAGAUUCUAAAUUAUUGAUAAUGUUAAGAAACUCCCCCCCCCCUCCCCCUAAAAUAAAAAAGACUUUCCUAAGGUGCUUACCCUUUUGUGAUGCUGCUAUUUUCAUACUGGACUUCCGCAGAGCUUUUACCAAUAUCUCCUUGGAAAUCUCUUAUAUGUUCUUUUAUUUGGUUUAUCCAUUUUAUCUUGUAUGCAUGCGGGGAAUGUAAUGGAUAAAAGUUGGAUAGAUAUUAAGGAUAGAGCCAAUAUCAGGUAUAUAAGAGGAAUAGAUAGUUUCUUGCAAUGGGCAUUUAGCCAAAAUGGAGUGAAAGACUUAAUACGUUAUCCUUGCAAGGGGUGUAGGAACUCUUAUGUUUAAAUCGUGAAAUGACAUAAGAUUUGAUCUUUUAAAGAGGGGUUUUUUGGAUAGUUGCAAAGUGUGGGAUAUGUAUGGGUAGAGAAGAGUGAAGAGGGAAUGUGGGACUUCCAACAUUGUGGUGGAAGUAUGUGAUGCCAAUGGAGUUCCAUGUGGGACUUCCAACAUCGUGGCUGGACCCAAGGAUCUUGUGCUGCAACAAGACUCAAAUAGUGAUUGCCAUCUGACCUCAAACAAGAUUUUAAGCCAAGUUCUUGGUAAAAGGUCAGGGUAUGCUAGAGGUAAAAAGUACGGAAUGCAUCCUAUGAAAAAAAGGACUCAAUCUCAAUCUUUUGAGAUGGAAAAAAUACAACAGCAUAUGAAGGCAGAUUUUGAUAGGAGACUUCAACAAAAGUGCGAGCAAUUGGAACAGCGUUUUUCGCCAAGGAUUCAGGAUGAAGUGGCUGCCAUCAUGGCUUCAUUUCAGUCAGGACAGCCUCGAGCACAAACUCCAGCUCCAAAUCCAACUCCAACCAAUGAUGUAUGUAGUAGCGUUGCUAGUUCCUAAUAAUUUAGUUGUUAUAUUGUUUUUCCUCUCUUAUAUAUAUUGUUGAAUUGCUUAUGUAUUCUUGUAUUGUUGAACUGGAUGAUUGUUGUUGUGGAUUCUUGUAUUGUUGUUCUAGGUUCUUAUUUUUGUUGCUGUA
Prosopis cineraria is the source of this 2514-nucleotide long non-coding RNA. RefSeq lists it as uncharacterized. The record is from RefSeq and is a predicted model, not a curated record. The transcript has 3 exons. Lineage: Eukaryota; Viridiplantae; Streptophyta; Magnoliopsida; Fabales; Fabaceae.